RNAcentral lists this ribosomal RNA (460 nucleotides) under uncultured bacterium. RNAcentral's name for it is "partial 16S ribosomal RNA". It matches the Rfam family "Bacterial small subunit ribosomal RNA", at positions 338 to 795 of the family's 1533-position model. The record is from RNAcentral.
CCUACGGGAGGCAGCAGUGAGGAAUAUUGGUCAAUGGCCGGAAGGCUGAACCAGCCAAGCCGCGUGAAGGACGAAGGUGCCAAGCAUUGUAAACUUCUUUUGUCAAGGGACAAAAUCAGGCUCGAGAGCCUGACCGAGGGUACUUGAAGAAAAAGCAUCGGCUAACUCCGUGCCAGCAGCCGCGGUAAUACGGAGGAUGCGAGCGUUAUCCGGAUUUAUUGGGUUUAAAGGGAGCGUAGAUGGGUUGUUAAGUCAGUUGUGAAAGUUUGCGGCUCAACCGUAAAAUUGCAAUUGAUACUGGCAGUCUUGAGUACAGUUGAGGUAGGCGGAAUUCGUGGUGUAGCGGUGAAAUGCUUAGAUAUCACGAAGAACUCCGAUUGCGAAGGCAGCUUACUAAACUGCCACUGACAUUGAUGCUCGAAAGUGUGGGUAUCAAACAGGAUUAGAUACCCUUGUAGUC